GGGUGCUUAGCUCAGUUGGUAGAGCGGCGCCCUUACAAGGCGUAGGUCGGGAGUUCGAGACUCUCAGCACCCACCA
RNAcentral lists this transfer RNA (76 nucleotides) under Lautropia mirabilis. RNAcentral describes it as "tRNA-Val". It matches the Rfam family "tRNA". From Rfam's summary of the family: Transfer RNA (tRNA) molecules are approximately 80 nucleotides in length. Their secondary structure includes four short double-helical elements and three loops (D, anti-codon, and T loops). Lineage: Bacteria; Pseudomonadati; Pseudomonadota; Betaproteobacteria; Burkholderiales; Burkholderiaceae. RNAcentral also lists the same sequence under 11 other names. The record is from RNAcentral.